This 468-nucleotide ribosomal RNA is filed under the name uncultured bacterium. Its description in RNAcentral is "partial 16S ribosomal RNA". It matches the Rfam family "Bacterial small subunit ribosomal RNA", at positions 28 to 507 of the family's 1533-position model. The record is from RNAcentral.
GACGAACGCUGGCGGCGUGCUUAACACAUGCAAGUCGAACGGAAAGGCCCUGCUUUUGUGGGGUGCUCGAGUGGCGAACGGGUGAGUAACACGUGAGUAACCUGCCCUUGACUUUGGGAUAACUUCAGGAAACUGGGGCUAAUACCGGAUAGGAGCUCCUGCUGCAUGGUGGGGGUUGGAAAGUUUCGGCGGUUGGGGAUGGACUCGCGGCUUAUCAGCUUGUUGGUGGGGUAGUGGCUUACCAAGGCUUUGACGGGUAGCCGGCCUGAGAGGGUGACCGGCAACAUUGGGACUGAGAUACGGCCCAGAAUCCUACGGGAGGCAGCAGUGGGGAAUAUUGCACAAUGGGCGGAAGCCUGAUGCAGCAACGCCGCGUGCGGGAUGACGGCCUUCGGGUUGUAAACCGCUUUCGCCUGUGACGAAGCGUGAGUGACGGUAAUGGGUAAAGAAGCACCGGCUAACUACGUG